This 475-nucleotide ribosomal RNA is filed under the name Proasellus slovenicus. Its description in RNAcentral is "partial 16S ribosomal RNA". It matches the Rfam family "Bacterial large subunit ribosomal RNA", at positions 1835 to 2597 of the family's 2925-position model. Lineage: Eukaryota; Metazoa; Arthropoda; Malacostraca; Isopoda; Asellidae. The record is from RNAcentral.
CUCUUGGAACACUUCAAGUAACCUCUGCCCUAUGAAUAGUUUAAAUGGCCGCAGUAAUUUGACUGUGCAAAGGUAGCAUAAUCACUUGUUUCUUAAUUAGARACUGGAAUGAAAGAGGCAACGAAAUAAAAACUUUUGGGUUGAAAUAUUAAAUUGACAUGUAGGUUAAAAGGCCUAAAUAUAUCAAAGGGACGAUAAGACCCUAUAAAACUUUACUUUUUAGUAAGUUCUGUGAGGAUGGGGUACAUAUAAGAGUUUAGCUGGGGCGGCAUUAAUAUAAACAAUUAUAAWUAUUAAUAUACUAAAUAAUAUGAAAGAACUUUUAUAUAAAAUAAAACAAGUUACUUUAGGGAUAACAGCGUAAUUCUCUCAGAGAGUUCUAAUUGACGAGAGAGCUUACGACCUCGAUGUUGAAUUGGGGCGUCUUGUGUAGGCAAAAGGACACAAAGAUAGUCUGUUCGACUAUUAAAUCCCC